CCCUUAGAUGUCCUGGGCCGCACGCGCGCUACACUGAUGCAUUCAACGAGUUUUACCUUGGCCGAGAGGCCUGGGCAAUCUUUUAAACCUGCAUCGUGAUAGGGAUAGAUUAUUGCAAUUAUUAAUCUUGAACGAGGAAUUCCUAGUAAACGCAGAUCAUCAAUCUGCAUUGAUUACGUCCCUGCCCUUUGUACACACCGCCCGUCGCACCUACCGAUUGAAUGGUCCGGUGAAGCCUCGGGAUUGUGGCCAGUUCACUUUAUUGGGAGUUGGCUGCGAGAACUUGUCUAAACCUUAUCAUUUAGAGGAAGGUGAAGUCGUAACA
RNAcentral lists this ribosomal RNA (325 nucleotides) under uncultured eukaryote. RNAcentral describes it as "partial 18S ribosomal RNA". It matches the Rfam family "Eukaryotic small subunit ribosomal RNA", at positions 1470 to 1796 of the family's 1831-position model. The record is from RNAcentral.